AUCUGCCCGAUACUCUGGGAUAACGCUUGGAAACGAGUGCUAAUACCGGAUGGUCUUCUUGGCCGCACGGCCGAGAAGGAAAAGACGCGUUCGCGUCGGUGUCGGAUGAGCCCGCGGCGCAUUAGCUAGUUGGUGAGGUAACGGCCCACCAAGGCGACGAUGCGUAGCCGACCUGAGAGGGUGACCGGCCACACUGGGACUGAGACACGGCCCAGACUCCUACGGGAGGCAGCAGUAGGGAAUCUUCCACAAUGGGCGAAAGCCUGAUGGAGCAACGCCGCAUGAGUGAUGAAGGCCUUCGGGUUGUAAAACUCUGUCAUUCGGGACGAACCGGAGUCUGAGGAAACGCAGACUCUCUGACGGUACCGGAGGAGGAAGCCCCGGCUAACUACGUGCCAGCAGCCGCGGUAAUACGUAGGGGGCAAGCGUUGUCCGGAUUCACUGGGCGUAAAGCGCGCGCAGGCGGUGAUGCAAGUCUGAGGUGAAAACCCGAAGCUCAACUUCGGGACUGCCUUGGAUACUGCGUCACUUGAGGAUAGGAGAGGCAAGGGGAAUUCCACGUGUAGCGGUGAAAUGCGUAGAGAUGUGGAGGAACACCUGUGGCGAAGGCGCCUUGCUGGCCUAUUUCUGACGCUGAGGCGCGAAAGCGUGGGGAGCAAACAGGAUUAGAUACCCUGGUAGUCCACGCUGUAAACGAUGAGUGCUAGGUGUAGGUGGGCUCAUACCCAUCUGUGCCGAAGCUAACGCAUUAAGCACUCCGCCUGGGGAGUACGGUCGCAAGACUGAAACUCAAAGGAAUUGACGGGGGCCCGCACAAGCAGUGGAGCAUGUGGUUUAAUUCGAAGCAACGCGAAGAACCUUACCAGGACUUGACAUCCCAUAGACCAGUCUAGAGAUAGACUUUCCCUUCGGGGCUGUGGUGACAGGUGGUGCAUGGUUGUCGUCAGCUCGUGUCGUGAGAUGUUGGGUUAAGUCCCGCAACGAGCGCAACCCUUACUUUGUGUUGCCAGCAUUCAGUUGGGCACUCACAAGGGACUGCCGCCGAUAAGGCGGAGGAAGGUGGGGAUGACGUCAAAUCAUCAUGCCCCUUAUGUCCUGGGCUACACACGUGCUACAAUGGGCGGUACAACGGGAUGCGAAGCCGCGAGGUGGAGCCAAACCCUGAAAACCGUUCGUAGUUCGGAUUGUAGGCUGCAACUCGCCUACAUGAAGCCGGAAU
RNAcentral lists this ribosomal RNA (1219 nucleotides) under uncultured Bacillota bacterium. RNAcentral describes it as "bacterial SSU rRNA". It matches the Rfam family "Bacterial small subunit ribosomal RNA", at positions 124 to 1332 of the family's 1533-position model. The record is from RNAcentral. Lineage: Bacteria; Bacillati; Bacillota.